RNAcentral lists this ribosomal RNA (468 nucleotides) under uncultured bacterium. RNAcentral describes it as "partial 16S ribosomal RNA". It matches the Rfam family "Bacterial small subunit ribosomal RNA", at positions 28 to 507 of the family's 1533-position model. The record is from RNAcentral.
GACGAACGCUGGCGGCGUGCUUAACACAUGCAAGUCGAACGGAAAGGCCCUGCUUUUGUGGGGUGCUCGAGUGGCGAACGGGUGAGUAACACGUGAGUAACCUGCCCUUGACUUUGGGAUAACUUCAGGAAACUGGGGCUACUACAGGAUAGGAGCUCCUGCUGCAUGGUGGGGGUUGGAAAGUUUCGGCGGUUGGGGAUGGACUGGCGGCUUAUCAGCUUGUUGGUGGGGUAGCGGCUUACCAAGGCUUUGACGGGUAGCCGGCAUGGGAGGGUGACCGGCCACAUUGGUACUGAGAGACGGCCCAGACUCGUACGGGGGGCAGUAGUGGGGAAUAUUGCACAAUGGGCGGAAGCCUGAUGCAGCAACGCCGCGUUCGGAAUGACGUCCUUCGGGUUGGAAACCGCUUUCGCUUGUGACGAAGCGGGAGUGACGGUAAUGGGUAAAGAAGCACCGGCUAACUACGUG